RNAcentral lists this ribosomal RNA (484 nucleotides) under uncultured bacterium. Its description in RNAcentral is "partial 16S ribosomal RNA". It matches the Rfam family "Bacterial small subunit ribosomal RNA", at positions 29 to 523 of the family's 1533-position model. The record is from RNAcentral.
AGUGAACGCUGGCGGCGUGCUUAACACAUGCAAGUCGAACGAGAACGGGUUAUAGCUUGCUAUAAUUGUCAGCUAAGUGGCGCACGGGUGAGUAAUGUAUAGGUAAUAUGCCUCUUACUAAGGGAUAACAAAUGGAAACGUUUGCUAAUACCCUAUACUCCUUAUUAACAGAAGUUAAUAAGGGAAAGAUUUAUUGGUAAGAGAUUAGCCUGUAUUGUAUCAGUUAGUUGGUGGGGUAAUGGCUUACCAAGACUAUGACACAUAACUGGUUUGAGAGGAUGAUCAGUCACACUGGAAAUGGGACACGGUCCAGACUCCUACGGGAGGCAGCAGUGGGGAAUAUUGCACAAUGGACGAAAGUCUGAUGCAGCAACGCCGCGUGGAGGAUGACACAUUUCGGUGCGUAAACUCCUUUUAUAUGAGAAGAUAAUGACGGUAUUAUAUGAAUAAGCACCGGCUAACUCCGUGCCAGCAGCCGCCGUAA